GGAGAGUUGGCAGAGUGGUCGAAUGCGGCGGUCUCGAAAACCGUUGUACGGGCAACCGUACCGAAGGUUCGAAUCCUUCACUCUCCGCCA
Molecule: transfer RNA, 90 nt
Filed under: Candidatus Omnitrophota bacterium
Lineage: Bacteria; Pseudomonadati; Candidatus Omnitrophota
Description: Candidatus Omnitrophica bacterium tRNA-Ser
Rfam family: tRNA
About the family: Transfer RNA (tRNA) molecules are approximately 80 nucleotides in length. Their secondary structure includes four short double-helical elements and three loops (D, anti-codon, and T loops).
Source: RNAcentral